This 468-nucleotide ribosomal RNA is filed under the name uncultured bacterium. RNAcentral describes it as "partial 16S ribosomal RNA". It matches the Rfam family "Bacterial small subunit ribosomal RNA", at positions 28 to 507 of the family's 1533-position model. The record is from RNAcentral.
GACGAACGCUGGCGGCGUGCUUAACACAUGCAAGUCGAACGGAAAGGCCCUGCUUUUGUGGGGUGCUCGAUUGGCGAACGGGUGAGUAACACGUGAGUAACCUGCCCUUGACUGUGGGAUAACUUUAGGAAACUGGGGCUAAUACCGGAUAGGAGCUCCUGCUGCAUGGUGUGGGUUGGAAAGUUUCGGCUGUUGGGGAUGGACUCGCGGCUUAUCAGCUUGUUGGUGGGGUAGUGGCUUACCAAGGCUUUGACGGGUAGCCGGCCUGAGAGGGUGACCGGGCACAUUGGGACUGAGAUACGGCCCAGACUCGUACGGGAGGCAGCAGUGGGGAAUAUUGCACAAUGGGCGGAAGCCUGAUGCAGCAACGCCGCGUGCGGGAUGACGGCCUUCGGGUUGUAAACCGCUUUCGCCUGUGACGAAGCGUGAGUGACGGUAAUGGGUAAAGAAGCACCGGCUAACUACGUG